GUCGUAACAAGGUUUCCGUAGGUGAACCUGCGGAAGGAUCAUUACCACACCGAUCCAAGAUCUUUUUUUCCGCGAACCCCUGCCCUGACCGCGGUUGCUUGACGUGACGCUUUUUGAAAAAUAAUCGCGUCCGUCGGCAUUUCGCACGCAGGGCAGGUCACAUAUUUUUUCUUUGGAAAGAAUAUGUGGUUUCCCUAAAAUCACAUAUUUUUUAAAUAUUAACCGGUCGAGACCAACAGUAUCAUGAAACAAGAGCCAGUCAUUGCAUUAUUAUUAUGCGGUGCGGACAAAAACAAUGUAUUACAACUUUCAGCAACGGAUGUCUUGGUUCCCA
This 334-nucleotide unclassified non-coding RNA is filed under the name fungal sp. Its description in RNAcentral is "partial internal transcribed spacer region". The stretch from base 1 to 44 matches the Rfam family "Eukaryotic small subunit ribosomal RNA", at positions 1788 to 1831 of the family's 1831-position model. Lineage: Eukaryota; Fungi. The record is from RNAcentral.